This 71-nucleotide transfer RNA is filed under the name Candidatus Kuenenbacteria bacterium. Its description in RNAcentral is "tRNA-Pro". It matches the Rfam family "tRNA". Rfam says of the family: Transfer RNA (tRNA) molecules are approximately 80 nucleotides in length. Their secondary structure includes four short double-helical elements and three loops (D, anti-codon, and T loops). Lineage: Bacteria; Candidatus Kueneniibacteriota. The record is from RNAcentral.
CGGGCUGUAGUAUAACGGUAGUACGCGAGCAUGGGGUGCUUGUAGCCGGGGUUCAAUUCCCCGCAGCCCGA